Molecule: ribosomal RNA, 500 nt
Filed under: bacterium enrichment culture clone 01(2012)
Lineage: Bacteria
Description: bacterial SSU rRNA
Rfam family: Bacterial small subunit ribosomal RNA
Source: RNAcentral
GAGUUUGAUCCUGGUUCAGAGUGAACGCUGGCGGCGUGCUUAACACAUGCAAGUCGAACGAUGAAGCUCUAGCUUGCUAGAGUGGAUUAGUGGCGCACGGGUGAGUAAUGUAUAGCUAAUGUGCCCCUUAGAGGGGGAUAACAGUUGGAAACGACUGCUAAUACCCCAUACUCCUUCUUCCUAUAAGGGAAGUUGGGAAAGUUUUUUCGCUAAGGGAUCGGGCUAUAUGGUAUCAGCUUGUUGGUGAGGUAAUGGCUCACCAAGGCUAUGACGCCUAUCUGGUCUGAGAGGAUGAUCAGACACACUGGAACUGAGACACGGUCCAGACUCCUACGGGAGGCAGCAGUGGGGAAUAUUACACAAUGGAGGAAACUCUGAUGUAGCAACGCCGCGUGGAGGAUGACACAUUUCGGUGCGUAAACUCCUUUUAUAUGGGAAGAUAAUGACGGUACCAUAUGAAUAAGCACCGGCUAACUCCGUGCCAGCAGCCGCGGUAAUAC